GACGAACGCUGGCGGCGUGCUUAACACAUGCAAGUCGAACGGAAAGGCCCUAGCUUGCUGGAGUGCUCGAGUGGCGAACGGGUGAGUAACACGUGGGUAACCUGCCCUUGACUUUGGGAUAACUUCGGGAAACUGGGUCUAAUACCGGAUAUGACCUCCCUCUUCAUGGGGUUGGGUGGAAAGUUUCGCGGUGUGGGAUGAGCCCGCGGCCUAUCAGCUUGUUGGUGGGGUGAUGGCCUACCAAGGCGACGACGGGUAGCCGGCCUGAGAGGGUGAUCGGCCACAUUGGGACUGAGAUACGGCCCAGACUCCUACGGGAGGCAGCAGUGGGGAAUAUUGCACAAUGGGCGGAAGCCUGAUGCAGCAACGCCGCGUGAGGGAUGACGGCCUUCGGGUUGUAAACCGCUUUCGGCUGUGACGAAGCGUGAGUGACGGUACCGGGAAAAGAAGCACCGGCUAACUACGUG
RNAcentral lists this ribosomal RNA (467 nucleotides) under uncultured bacterium. Its description in RNAcentral is "partial 16S ribosomal RNA". It matches the Rfam family "Bacterial small subunit ribosomal RNA", at positions 28 to 507 of the family's 1533-position model. The record is from RNAcentral.